AUUGAACGCUGGCGGCAGGCCUAACACAUGCAAGUCGAACGGCAGCACAGAAGAGCUUGCUCUUUGGGUGGCGAGUGGCGGACGGGUGAGUAAUGUCUGGGAAACUGCCCGAUGGAGGGGGAUAACUACUGGAAACGGUAGCUAAUACCGCAUAACGUCGCAAGACCAAAGGGGGGGACCUUCGGGCCUCACACCAUCGGAUGUGCGCAGAUGGGAUUAGCUAGUAGGUGGGGUAAUGGCUCACCUAGGCGACGAUCCCUAGCUGGUCUGAGAGGAUGACCAGCCACACUGGAACUGAGACACGGUCCAGACUCCUACGGGAGGCAGCAGUGGGGAAUAUUGCACAAUGGGCGCAAGCCUGAUGCAGCCAUGCCGCGUGUAUGAAGAAGGCCUUCGGGUUGUAAAGUACUUUCAGCGGGGAGGAAGGCGGUGAGGUUAAUAACCUUGCCGAUUGACGUUACCCGCAGAAGAAGCACCGGCUAACUCCGUGCCAGCAGCCGCCGUAA
Molecule: ribosomal RNA, 506 nt
Filed under: uncultured bacterium
Lineage: Bacteria
Description: partial 16S ribosomal RNA
Rfam family: Bacterial small subunit ribosomal RNA
Source: RNAcentral